This 69-nucleotide transfer RNA is filed under the name Episoriculus macrurus (Long-tailed mountain shrew). RNAcentral describes it as "tRNA-Phe". It matches the Rfam family "tRNA". Rfam says of the family: Transfer RNA (tRNA) molecules are approximately 80 nucleotides in length. Their secondary structure includes four short double-helical elements and three loops (D, anti-codon, and T loops). The record is from RNAcentral. Lineage: Eukaryota; Metazoa; Chordata; Mammalia; Eulipotyphla; Soricidae.
GUUAAUGUAGCUUAAUACUAAAGCAAAGCACUGAAAAUGCUUAGAUGAGCUCGAAGAGCUCCAUAAACA